Molecule: long non-coding RNA, 524 nt
Filed under: Brassica napus (rape)
Lineage: Eukaryota; Viridiplantae; Streptophyta; Magnoliopsida; Brassicales; Brassicaceae
Description: long non-coding RNA (BNAP_LNC027113)
Source: RNAcentral
AUCGAUAGUAAUCUCUAACAAACACAAUCUACCAAAGCCUUAUCUCAAUCUAUCAAGCAUAUCUUCAUACCAACUCGGCCUUAUCACUCACCACUUCUAGAACGUAUAUCAAACCAGAUCAGACCGAACUUAACCGGUCUCAAUAUUCACCAUCCUCGAUGGCUCAAGAAUAGUCUUUUCCCUUUUUUCACAUUUGGUCCCCGCUGUUUGAGAGUCUUCGGCUUUGUCCCCCAGAACUUUCAUUUGGUGCACAUCUUCCUCGUUUUUGCUCCAAAACUUCCGAUUAUGUUAUCCAAGCACCUGUAUAUGCAAAAUGUACAUAUGCAACUUCUAAUAAUACACCUAAAUGCAAUAUUUAAACACUUAAAAUGACCAAAAAGAAUGCUUAAUAAUGUACAAAAACACUAUAUAUCAGUAGUCUACACAUGUAAAUGUAAAUAUCCAAGGACAUGGGAAUACAACCAUGCAACUGUUCGCAGACGGUAUCUAUGUAUACAACAAACUCCUCUAUACAAAUCCGCCAC